UGAACCUGAACCAAACUGCAGAAGGAUGGUUUCGAUUCGGUUCGAAGUCGAUUCCGGUUUUGACCGGUUUUGAUCCGAUUUUGACCAAACGGGUUCUGUUUCGAUUCCGGUUCAAAAUCGGACCGUGGCCACCCCUAAUGCAGCGUCUGACCCACUUCCUUCAAAUUUCUUUAGUUGCUUAUUUUUGUCAUUUUGAUUUGAGACAGGGCAUGGAAGCUGCUGGGCCCAUUAUUUUUUUAAAGGGCACCUUCCAUGUAUUUUAACUGUUUUGUCAUGAAGCAAUGUUCUAUCAAUAUAUAUAAAAAGUAUCUUUGUGUUGCCAUGUAGGCU
This 330-nucleotide unclassified non-coding RNA is filed under the name Hevea brasiliensis (rubber tree). The record is from RNAcentral. Lineage: Eukaryota; Viridiplantae; Streptophyta; Magnoliopsida; Malpighiales; Euphorbiaceae.